GACGUAGGGCGCGAGCGUUGUCCGGAUUUAUUGGGCGUAAAGAGCUCGUAGGCGGCUUGUCGCGUCGUCCGUGAAAACUUGGGGCUCAACCCCAAGCUUGCGGUCGAUACGGGCAGGCUAGAGUUCGGUAGGGGAGACUGGAAUUCCUGGUGUAGCGGUGAAAUGCGCAGAUAUCAGGAGGAACACCGGUGGCGAAGGCGGGUCUCUGGGCCGAUACUGACGCUGAGGAGCGAAAGCGUGGGUAGCGAACAGG
Molecule: ribosomal RNA, 253 nt
Filed under: uncultured bacterium
Lineage: Bacteria
Description: partial 16S ribosomal RNA
Rfam family: Bacterial small subunit ribosomal RNA
Source: RNAcentral